RNAcentral lists this ribosomal RNA (515 nucleotides) under uncultured bacterium. RNAcentral's name for it is "bacterial SSU rRNA". It matches the Rfam family "Bacterial small subunit ribosomal RNA", at positions 24 to 518 of the family's 1533-position model. The record is from RNAcentral.
UCAGGAUGAACGCUGGCGGCGUGCCUAACACAUGCAAGUCGAACGGGACUAUCAAGUGAUGUUUCGGACUGAACUUUUAGUUAGUGGCGGACGGGUGAGUAACGCGUGGACAACCUGCCUCUCACUGGGGGAUAGCAGUUGGAAACGGCUGGUAAUACCGCAUGCGUUCAAUGUGCCGCAUGACACAUUGAAGAAAGAUUUAUCGGUGAGAGAUGGGGUCCGCGUCUGAUUAGCUAGUUGGUAGGGUAGAGGCCUACCAAGGCAACGAUCAGUAGCCGGCCUGAGAGGGUGGACGGCCACACUGGGACUGAGAACGGCCCAGACUCCUACGGGAGGCAGCAGUGGGGGAAUAUUGCGCAAUGGGGGGAAACCCUGACGCAGCGACGCCGCGUGAGCGAAGAAGGCCUUCGGGUUGUAAAGCUCUGUUGUAAGGGACGAAUGUCUAGGGUAGUAACUGACCUUAGAAUGACGGUACCUUACCAGCAAGCCCCGGCUAACUACGUGCCAGCCGCAGC